AGCUCCAGAAGCGUAUAUUAGUGUUGUUGCAGUUAAAAAGCUCGUAGUUGGAUUUCUGGGAAUUGGCGUGUGGGUCCCGGCGCUCAGCGUCGGAGAGCUCGCACUCCUUCUCAUCCGUGGUCGGUGGGUGUGUGUUCUUUACUGAAUGCGCAUUCCGCCUACCACCCUUUACCUUGAAGAAAUAAGAGUGUUUAAAGCAGGCAACCGCUUUGAAUGAUCGAGCAUGGAAUAAUGACAUAGGGCUAUCUCUCUAUAUUAUUGGUCCUGGAAAGGUGGCAAUGAUUGAUAAGAACGGUUGGGGGUGCUCGUAUUCCGUGUCUAGAGGUGAAAUUCUUGGAUCCACGGACUUCGAACGACUGCGAAGGCAUUCACCAAGGACGUCUCUUUUA
This 389-nucleotide ribosomal RNA is filed under the name Spirula sp. Its description in RNAcentral is "partial small subunit ribosomal RNA". It matches the Rfam family "Eukaryotic small subunit ribosomal RNA", at positions 587 to 975 of the family's 1831-position model. Lineage: Eukaryota; Metazoa; Mollusca; Cephalopoda; Spirulida; Spirulidae. The record is from RNAcentral.